AACGAAGACGAAACUCUU
RNAcentral lists this small RNA (18 nucleotides) under Arabidopsis thaliana (thale cress). Its description in RNAcentral is "ATSL236490". Lineage: Eukaryota; Viridiplantae; Streptophyta; Magnoliopsida; Brassicales; Brassicaceae. The record is from RNAcentral.